RNAcentral lists this unclassified non-coding RNA (3754 nucleotides) under Hevea brasiliensis (rubber tree). The record is from RNAcentral. Lineage: Eukaryota; Viridiplantae; Streptophyta; Magnoliopsida; Malpighiales; Euphorbiaceae.
UUUUUUUUUUUUUUUUUUCAAUUUGUAUUUUUUGAAUGUUAUAAAUUUAUCAAUAGAAAUUUAUUUUGCAAUUAUAGCUUAUUAUUAUUAUUAAGGGAAAAUAGUUUAUUGAUAAGUUUAAUGUUUAAAAUGAUAUGUAUUGUUUGUGAAAAUUGUUAUAUGCUAUGUUUUAGUUCUACUAAGGCAGAUAGAUAUAUAUUUGGAGGGUUGUGUCUAUACUUGUCCCUUUUUUAUUUAUUUUUUGACUAGGGAAAUGUCUAAUUUUUAGUGAAAUUUUGCUAGAUUUUCAAUAAGAUUUUAGGGGAGAGUUGAGUUAGAUUUUUUUUUACUUAGGUAGGAGUUUUUAUUUCUCUUUGUUAACCUAAAUAUUAUUAUUGUAUUCUAUAGGGCCAUUUCCACCAAAAGGUAAUAGUGUGCCAAGGCUGUACCAUAAGCUGGCGGCUAGACCCUUGAUUUCUUGGGCUUAAUUGGUUGAUGGUAUGUGAGAGGAGACAAUGGCUUUGCACUUGUCAUGAUCCUCAAGUGUCCAUGUCAUCAACUAAAGAUGUUAAACUAGUACCUGAAGAAAACCGAAAAAUGAACCAAUCUCUCUAGUUAUGGUAAUUUGAGAUUUAAAUUUCACUCUUGGUUUGAUUUGAUGUUUUUGUUUAUCUUUCUUUGAUUUGAUUUGAUUUUUUUUGUUUAUCUUUCUCUGAUAAGUGCUGAUAGUUGGGCAUUUGGGCGCAGGAAAAUCUGCAAAAAUUUAUUCGAUGUGUAAGGUAUAGUCAAAUGAUCUUUGAAUGAUUUUGUUUCCUUCAAAUCUUAAAUCCUGAAUCCUAUUCAGUUCUUAUCUAAAGCUCUUCAAAUUUUAAAAUGCAAAUUGUCAAGUCACUAUCUGUUCUCCCACCUUCCCCUUUAUACAAUCUUCUCUUCAUUCCCAAACUUCCCUUCUUUUCUUCUUUUUCUUCACUUGCCAAUACUGUAGAAGCCCCAAACCCUGCCCUUUUCCAUUACCUAAUGGAAACAUUAAAAUUCUCUAAAACCCAAGCGCUCUUAAUCUCCACGCGCUACUCUCACAUCAAAUCCAUGGAAAAACCUCAAUCCGUGUUUUGCUUUUUCCAAAACCUUGGUUUCUCCAAUUCCCAUAUCCAAUCUGCUAUCCUUCUAACACCCCAAAUUCUCUUUGCUAAUAUUGAGAAGUCCCUUAAACCAAAAAUUAAGCUUUUUCAAGAUAUAGGUCUUGUGGGUUGUGACUUAGGUAAGUUCAUUUCCAAGAAUUCCCCACUUUUAACUGCUAGUUUGAAGGAAAAGUUGGUUCCUCGCAUUGAAAUUUUGAAGAAACUUUUGUUGAAUGAUGAGAAAAAUGAGGAUUUGGUGAAGGUUAUACGUAGAUGCAAUUGGUUAAUCUCCAAAAACCCUGAAUCGAGGUUGUUAUCCAACAUCGCAUACUUGAAGAGUUGUGGGAUAGUUGGGUCUCAGCUCUCAAUGUUGUUAAAGAGGCAGCCUAGGCUUUUUGUUAUGCAAGAAUCAAGGCUUAGAGACCUUGUUUCUCGAGUAUUGAAUAUGGGAUUCUCAAUCAAUUCAAGGAUGUUGGUUCAUGCUUUAUAUACUGUUAGUUGCUUGAGUGAUGAGACAUUUGAGAGAAAAUUUGGAAUUUUAAAGAGUUAUGGGUUUUCAGAGUAUGAAUGCAUAGAAAUGUUUAGAAAGGCACCAGGUUUGCUAAGGACCUCUAAGGAGAAGUUGAAGUUGGGAAUUGAUUUCUUUUUGAAUGUAGUAAAGUUUAAAAAAGAAGUGUUGCUUCACAAUCCUACAUAUUUGAUGCAUAGCAUGGAAGAAAGAGUGAUUCCUCGAUACAAAGUUUUGGAGAUUAUGAAGUCAAAGAAGAUAUUUAAGAAGGAGCCAAGCUUUAUUAAUGUGUUGCAUUUAACAGAAGAGGAGUUUUUACAGAAGUUUAUAUCAAGGUUCCCAGAUGAUGCUUUGGAAUUGUUGAUAGCUUACAAAGGCAAUAUUCUAGAUUCAUCAUCCUAGGGAGAAAAAUCUUGAUACAGGAAAAUUAUGUUCAAUUGGGCUUUGAUUAUUAUUUUUCACUUAAAGGAACAUAGGAAAAUUACCCAUUCAGCUACUCAAUUUGGGAAAGCAAUCCUUUGAGCACUUCGAAUCUCCUGUGUGGUAGAGAAGAAGAAGAAAGAUGGGAGAGAGAAAGGUUUUGAACAAGUAUUAUCCGCCCGAUUUUGAUCCAUCGAAGGUUCCCCGAAUUAAGAGGCCAAAAAACCAGUAGAUUAAGGGCCGGAUGAUGCUUCCAAUAAGUAUACGUUGCAACACUUGCCGCAAUUACAUAUAUAAGGGCACCAAGUUCAAUUCUCGCAAGGAAGAUGUCAUCGGCGAGACAUCUCGGAAUUCAAAUUUCAGGUUCUAUUUCAAGUGCACCAAAUGUUCAGCCGAGCUUGCCAUAAAGACUGAUCCUCAAAAUUCUGAUUAUGUUAUUGAGAGUGGUGCUACGCGAAAUUUUGAGCCCUGGCGCGCUGAGGAUGAGGAAGCUGAUAAGGAGAGGCAAAAAAGGGAUGCUGAGGAGAUGGGUGAUGCAAUGAAAUCCUUGGAGAAUCGGACUUUGGACUCCAAAAGAGAGAUGGCCAUUCUAGCUGCACUUGACGAGAUGAAGUCUAUGAAGUCAAGACAUGCAACUGUCAGCGUAGAUGCUAUGCUUGAGGCCUUGCAGAAAACAGCUGCAGAAAAGGAGAAGAAGGUGGAAGAAGAGGAUGAAGCACUUGUAAAAUCAAUAUUUGAACGGAGAUCAAAAGAAGUUAUAAGAAGGAUUCCUGAUGAGUAUUCGGAUGAUGAUGAUGAUUUCAAUCAGCUUUCAAAUGCCAAUAGUGAAACGAUGAGAAAUAAUUCAAAGGUAUGAUAAUCUUGUAAUGUGGUUUGUACUUUUUGUUGGCCGCAUUUUGGACAUACAAUUCUUUUUGGCUAGUCAGAGUUAGGACAAUUUUAGAUAUUGUUAAAUACUAUUCAAAGAAACGAAAUUUUAUUGUAAAAUUUGUCUAACAAUUUAUUGCAUAAGUCAUGACUAUUAUUUUUCUAAAUAAAUAAUUAUAUUUUAGAUGUUGAAAGUAUUUUUAUAUUGUAUAUUCAUUUAAAAAUUUGUUAAAUUAUGAAUUUGAUUCAUUUUGCUACUUUGGAAAGGGGGGAAAUAAGAAUCCGCAGUAGUCCUUUGGCAACCAUUAUACUUUGGCACUACAACCAUGAUUUAAAACUUGGACCAUAUAGAUGCAAUAAAUGAAAAUAACUUCUGGAUUGUGAUAGGUUGAAAUUCAUUAGAGAAUUAGGAUGGGUGGAAAAUAGAAUGAUGGAAAAAAAAAAGGAGGGAUAGCAAAGUUGAAAAUUGAUGAGAAAUGUUUUCCACUCAUAUGCUUGUUGGAAAAGUUGUAAAAAGUGGAAGAAAUAAAACAAAUAUUGAUUUUUUUCUGUCAAUUUAUGUGAAAUAUAGUGUUAUGACAUCUAUAUUUUCCUGGUAAAAUCUAAUACAAAUCACUAACUCAUUUUCCACUCUCUUGUCUUCUAUUUUGAAGUUUAAACUUUUGGUUUGGGUGAGAAUUAUCCCUCGUAUUUUCCUUUUCUGUUUUCCCCACCCUACCUAAUGAUGCAAAAUAGUUUCUAUCCUUUGUUUUCUUGCUUUUCCAUCUUCUCACAUUUUCCUUCUACAACUAUAAUGCUGCGAAAAUAGUUCAAUAGUAACUCUUUUAGUAUGCUAAUUUAGGAUCACUCAUAUUUUAAUUUU